UCACCUGUACCUUCAAUCCCUUUCUCCCCGGACGAUGACCAUGGCCAGCACCACCUCUCCUCUCCUCGUCCUGCUCUCUGCCAUGGCGGUGGUGGCGCUCGUCGCAGCACCAGUCUCGUCGGCGGACCUGCCAUCCACCUUCGCGGACAUCGCGUCCAAGAUCCCCAACCCGUGGUCGGCCUUCAGGAACCUCACCGGCUGCCACUUCGGCGAGGAGCAGCAGGGCGUCGCCAAGCUCAAGGACUACCUCGCCCACUUCGGCUACCUCCCGGAGUCUUCCGGGUUCACCGACAUCUUCGACGCCGACCUGGAGGAGGCCAUCAAGGUGUACCAGCGCAACUUCGGCCUCAACAUCACCGGCGUGAUGGACGCGACCACGGUGGCCCAGAUGAUGGCGCCGCGGUGCGGCGUCGCCGACGUCAUCAACGGCACCUCCACCAUGGGCGCCUCGUCCCACGCCCACGGCCGGAACCUCUACUCCUACUUCCCGGGUUCCCCGUCGUGGCCGCGCUCCAAGAAGAGACUCACGUACGCCAUUACCGACACCGCCGCGACGACCAUCGACCGGGCGACGCUGAGCCGGGUGUUCGCGCGGGCCUUCGCGCGGUGGUCGGCGGCGACGACGCUCAACUUCACGGAGACCGCGUCGGCGCGGGACGCCGACAUCACCAUCGGGUUCCACGCGGGGGACCACGGCGACGGCGAGGCGUUCGACGGGCCGCUCGGCACGCUGGCGCACGCCUUCGCGCCGACGGACGGGCGGUUCCACCUGGACGCCGCCGAGGCGUGGGUGGCCGCCGGCGACGUGUCGCGGGCGUCCUCGGACGUGGCCUAUGACCUCGAGUCCGUGGCCGUGCACGAGAUCGGGCACCUCCUCGGGCUCGGCCACUCGUCGGAGCCCGGCGCCAUCAUGUACCCGAGCAUCACCCCGCGCACCAGGAAGGUGGACCUGGCAUCGGACGACGUCGUGGGAAUCCAGAGCCUGUACGGGAAUAAAUAGAGCAUUCUAAGUUCUCUUGCCACCAACACCAAGCAAUAUAUUUUACAGGAAAUUAAGCUGCAACUGCAAGCGAACAAUCAUCUUAUCAUGGCUGUAAUUUGUUAGUACCUUUCCAUUAAGAGUAAGUUUUGCACAAGUAGGGUUUUCAGGAUCAAUCUUCCCACAUGUCCCGAGAGGGAAUUCGCUCAGGGUGAAGGAGGUCCUUUCGUCCGCCAGUGCAUCUCGUGCAGUAGGAUCCAAAGUUGUCAGGUAGAAGUAUGGGAUUCCAUGGCCCUCACCAGGUAACCCAUCACUAUACGAAACUACAUUGGUGUACAUUCAAGAAGGCAAGAAUAAAGUUAACCAACCAGAAGAGAGUAUAUAUGUUGCCAGUUUGCAGUACUGAGACAAGAAGGAAUACCCAAAUGGAGCCCCGUUCAAAUCACUUGAUAUUGUGCUGCAAGAUGUGAUCAGGUAUUAGUGAAUAACCAACCAAAUAGAUUAUUGAUCUACAAUUAUCUCUGAGCAACAAACAGAAUAGAGCAAAUCUAUUAAAUUACAGUUCUACCACGCAAGGUAAAGAUUUGACCAAUACUAUGAUGCAGUGAUGCUAGUUAUGUGAUGUUCUACAAAUAAAUCAACUGUGGGUUCUCUUCAGUCAAUUUGCAUAUUGGGGUAGUGAUUUACUCAAAAUCUUCAUCUUUUAGGGAAAAUCGGGUCACUUGACGGUCAAAUCAGUCUUUAAACUUUCGAAAUCUGAAGUUCUGAACAGGACUGCGAACUCCAAAGCAAGCAAUAACAUGGUUCCGUGCAAUUCGUACACAUUCUCAGCACUUGCCGGCACUAGCUAGGAAUUCCGAAUUCGCAUCAACAAAUUUCCCAGCUACGCAGCGGUAGUUCCCAGCUUCCCAUUCGAUCAAACGAACACAUGCUGCUACCUCUAAGAAGAACACCUGUUGCUAAAGGAACUAGCUGCGGCACCAAAUCGCAGCGGUAAAAUAAGAGAAGACGGGUUUGGGCGGAACUGGAUGGGACCUGAGGACACCCCACGUGUUCUGUGCGGCGAGCCACCUCGCGGUGGCGGUAGCCUCGGAGGGGGCAGGCUUGUCGUCGACGAUCGGGCGGGCGGCUGAGGCCGGCGCCGGCGGCCGGAGGACGAGGAGGAAGGCGGCGGCGAGGGCGAGGCGGGCAGGGGAGAGCAUCGCGAUUUCUUGCUUUGGCUGUCAGCUAUAGUUGGCCAUCCGGGCCACCCGGCAGCACGGACACUAUCUGGCACGGCACUAUAUGGCACGGCACUAUCUGGCACGAGUACUUAACCGUGCCGUGCCGUGUAGUGCCGCCGUGCCUAACUGUCGGCACAGGCACGGCACUAACAGGCAGUUAGCGUGCCGUGCCAGGCCACAGGGCACGGCGGCACUGCAGUGCCCGUGCCGGCCCUGGCACUAAGUGUGCCUACCACAAGUCCACAAUACCACUCUUUUUACACAGAAUUACAAGCACAAUACAAAACUAUUAAGAUUCACAAGUAGUGGAGAACUUAUCUUGUUGUAUUCACAAAUUUGUAACAAAGUCACAAGUCACAACCCAGUCACACAGUCAUAGAGAUAACAAAAUAACAUUUUAUUGGGAGCUUUAGUGCAAUGGCUGCCUCAUUAAAAACCUAUCUAGGUAAAACUCACCCUUGUGAGAAACCCUAGACAGGAAAAAAGAGUACAGCCCAGCUCCAAUUAUAAAGUUCAUCACAGUCCAUGAGUCCAGUACUUAAUAUUACAGUCGCAUUACAUAAAUGAUAACUAAUCAAGAUAAAGUUCUUCAAAAGCUUCUUCAAGUUCCUUGUCCUCCACCAUGUGUUGCAGUCUUGCUUCUGCAGCCUCCCAGUCUUUGAUGCAGGUGAGCAUCUCCACCAUGUCAGGCUUUAGCUUCCUCCGCCGCUCCUCGAUGAUCCUGCCAGUCAUAUUAAAAGUGGAUUCUAAAGAUAUGGUUGAAACAGGAACUGUUAAUAUAUCCUUAGCCAUGGUUGACAACACUGGAUAUGUGAGUUUGUGUUGAUGCCACCAGUUCAAGAUGUUAAAAUCAUCAUCUAAAUGAUUCACUGUGUCACAGUCCAAGUAAGAAACAAGUUCAGAAACAUUACCACCUGAAGAACUGGCAGCAUGCAAAAAGGCAGUUGCAGAUGUAUCUCUAGCCAUGCUUAGAGUAGCAACUAGAGAAUGCAUGCCACCAGCAGAACCAACAUCAUCAUCAUCAUAAAUUUCAUCCCAAGCAGACCUUUUCUUACCAGAUAGGUUAGGAGGUACAGUCCUCCUCAACCUAACACCUCCAUAUUUCUCCUCAUACUUGUUGUAGACAUCAGUAAGUCGAGCUCUAGUGCUAACUUGGUAAGCACUGUAAUCUGUACUGGUAAGGGUACCCAACCUCCUGAGCACUCUAUUGAAACCUUUCAUUUUAGCUCUAGGGUCCAGGAUGAAUGCAAAAGAAUAAAGCAAAGGUAUGUCCCUCCAGUAUUUGUUAUACUUGUCUAUCAUAGGUUGAACCACAUGUCUGAUGUGAGUAUCAUUAGCAUAAUUCUUUAAGUGCAUAGCAAUCUUAACAAGAUAAUGAAUCAUAAGUGGAGAUGUAGGAUAGUACACACCAGACAAUGUAACUGUAGCAUCAUAAAAAAGUUCAAGAAAUCUUAGCACUUUUUCUGCCAUAGCCCAAUUAUCAUCAGAUAAAAGCAACUGCUCACCUUCAACCCUAGGAUAUUGAGCAACUAUGAAAGUUGUGAAUGGGACCUUAUGAGGAAACAAAUGCUUAAGCAUUAGAUAUGUAGAAUUCCACCUAACUUCCAUGUCUAGCUGAAACUUUCUAGACCUAACACCAGUGGCAAUGCAAUAACUUUUAUAUGCAGCAAUUCUCUGAUUAGAUGAGUUUAAGAAAGAUAUUGCAAUUCUAAACUUCUCAAUCAAUAGCUUAAGAGCAGUUAGAGCCUCCUUAACAAUCAGAUUGAUCAACGGCGAGGGCGAGGCGGGCAGGGGAGAGCAUCGCGAUUUCUUGCUUUGGCUGUCAGCUAAUCGGGCUGGGGUGGGAGUCGUCGAGUUCGAUGUCUGAUGUCUCGGCUUCUUCAGCUUGUAGCGAAUCUCUUUCCCCCGUGGUGGAUGCGACGAGACUCGCCUGCAGUUGGUGCCCUGUGUUGAAUCACUGCCGUGUGGGUCUGGGUCCACAUGACAGUGAACCAACUGCAGAGGAUCCCUGCCCGGUGGAUGUGGAUCGGAUCGGACAAGCCGAACACAGCUGAUGAGCUGAAGCUGAGUGAUGGACUGGACGUCACGAGAUGCAUUUUUAUUUAUUAUAGGGGAAAAUCGUAAAAUUAAUUAACAUUACUUUGAAAUUCUCCCUCCAAAGUUGUUUUGUUGCAAAUGCACACCUCUUACUUCACUCUGAGGCAAAAACUGCGCACUGCGUACUUGUCAAUUUCACUUUUUUCCCCUGAUGUCGCAAAUGAUUCGCGGAGGCAACUCAAAAUCAAAAUAAUAUAAUUGGCUCUUUUUUUGCAGUAUUUUCUUAACACAUAUUUGCAUAAUCCCAUUUAAUCCAGGGUAAAAGCUUUGGGGUAUGUUUUGGCUUGCAACUUUGCUACACUUGUUUAACUUGUGCCCAAGAUAAAUGACGCAAAGGUAGCCAAAGAAAAUCAUGCCAUAAUUUCAUGCCUAAGGAUCUAUUUGGGGGGGAAGUUACUAGUUGUUUAACAUUGUGGCAAAGUGAAAUGACGCACAACUUAGAGCUUUUGAACUUUUUUGAAAAGCUGUUGUUGGUUUUUUUUCUAAAAAUCCAAUACAACUUUUAAAAAAUGUGUUUAGCUUUUUGGGGUCAAAAAGCUAAAAAAAAAACUAAAAAACUGAGCUUUUCAACUUCCCAUAUAAACUUAGCUUUUCCGAACUUCUGGUUUUUCAAAAACUGCACGAGAAGUUUGCUAUUUGUUUGAGCUUCUGGCAGAGAGUCUCAGUCAUAUCUAAGAGAAUCGUGCCAUAGCAUCAUUACCAAGGGUUUAUUUGGCAAAAAGGAUUAGAGCCUCUUUCAAACUAAAGGAUUCUCAAACGUAGAGAUAGAAAAAAGAAUAGGAUUUUGAGUUAGUUGGUAGUUGCAAUUCUACGGGCCAAUAGAAUACAAGCACUUUCCAAUCGAGGGUCCGGAGAUAUCACAUAAAAAAUAGGAAUGUAAGAAAAGAUAUAAACUCAAAGAGGUUGGACCCCACAUUAGAACUGUGGCGGAACCGUCCAAUUUAAACUGGUUUAAAUGCGUCUAAUUGCUGCCGACGCAACAAUUAUUCGAAACGUAUUUAAAACAGUGUAAAUCCGGUCGUCCGUCGAGUGUCCCUAGGACUCCUCGAAAGAUCCACGUUGUAUUUCAUAGCCAUACAUCAGGAUAGUAUCCGCGAUGGGAUAACAUCAACAAAUAUUACAUUUUACAUACAUAUAAAAGGUACGAGUUAUUACAGAGCAUAGAUUGAAGCAAACUUAACAGUGCAGUGUUAGACAGAGUUCUAAGAUUUAAAACAUAAACAGUUCAGGAGGAGAUGAGCAUUUAAAAACUUCUUCUUAAAGGUAUUGUGAGACUCAUAACAAUACCCUAGGGCUUCGGGGCUUCCUCUUCUGUAGACUCCUGCGGAGCUUCUGAAAGAUAGCCACAAGGGAUAACCCUGAGUACGGGGUACUCAGCAAGUCUUACCCGACUAACCAAUAUAAUAACUUUCUUUGGAUGUAUAUGAUAGCUUUUGGUGUACUUGGCUGAUACAACUUUUGCCGAAAAGCUUACUACAAGUGAUGCCUUAGUUUUAUCUUUUAUUUGGGUUAAGUUAUUACCUAACCAUUCUAGAUGAUGAGAAAAGAGUAAAUACAACAAUAAGGUAUUUAAGCCAUACAUCACUCAUUUAUCAGAAAGGUAUAUCAUUCAUGAAUUUACACUACGAUGCUCAACAGUGAUCAAGUGCAUUCAUAACCGAGAAUUGCGGCGAUCCGGAUCAAUUUACAUCCUGCAGGAGAGUACUCUGAUCACCAGUUUUAUACGACUGUCCAGGUCGUACAUAAUGACCUUUUGAUUAGCAAAAUCUAUGAUUGGGAAUAAGACUACCCGGACCCAGGGACGCACCCCCACAUGGGACCCCACGUCUGGCCCGAUCACCAUGUGAGUUUCAGGCUAUGCCCCUGCCAAUCUCCAGCACGUCAAGCGCGGGUACGAAGUAUUCCCGAUCAGAGAGUUUACUAACCUACUGGGCUUUACUGGUCCCAUACCCAGUAAGUGAUCAGAUGCUUAUCACUUGAUCAAAGGUUAAGACAACGAAUCGGGCCUUAACCAAAUUAAUCUAGCAGACAGAACUACAUCUCUAGCUUCUGUCUGCUUCUCAAUUUCAAGUCAUCUUCCCAUAAAUAACAUGUAUGACUCAAAAGUUUCUCCUUAAGGUUGGUAAACCAAGUAUUUAAGCAACUUAAGCAAUUCUAGACUUGGGUAUCUUCUAAGGUUUGAACAAGUGGCAAAGAUGUCCUUAAAACAAGGCAUGAUCAUACACAAGAAUAGGUUUCAAGCAACUCCUAGACUUAGUGCAUACAUAUAGCAAAUAACCGAUAAUUGGACACAUGAAAUAAUAACUCUAAAAUAGAUAGGUAUAAAUGCACCGGGGCUUGCCUUGUUCGCUUAAAAAGUUAGUGUUGUAUGACGGGUUGACUUCGCAGGGGACUAAUUCAAAGACUUCUUCGAACUCCGAAGAUCCUUCUGAAAAUUCCAAAUAAUCUCCUUCUGGUACUUCAGGAUCUAUAGCACAAUACAUGCAGGGGUUAGGAAUGCAAAAUUUUGAAUAAAAGACUAUACAACUUUCCUUCAUGAUAAAGUUGCAAGCCAGCAAGGACUAUACAAUCUAUCAUGAUAAAGUUGCAAGUCAACACACAAAAACCCCAAAAGAUUAACCCACAAUUUUUAUUUUCUUACCUAAUCCUUACUGAAGGCCUUUCUUUUAUUUUUAGCAAAGGUUAUAAUUAUUUUCUAACUUGAAAACCUAAUUUCCUAUGGGUUAAGAAUAAUUUGUGAUUAAGAAAAUGUUAUUCCAUAUUUUAUACAUUUUAUAAAUAUUAAGUAUUUAUUUAAUUACCUUAAAAGAAAGGCAUUAAAUAAAUACCCAAAUUUUUAUUAUUUUUCUAGGGUGUAAAAAUUUUAAUGCAUAAAGGAAAAUAAAACAAGCCUAACAAAAUUGGUUUCACUAAUUUUGGACACUCCUAGAAAUUUCUGUGAUUUAAAUGGGGGAAUUCGGAUUUAAACUAAUUAUUCUAUAAAGGAAAUCUAAUUUUCCCGAAAAAACACCCCCGGAAAACUUUUCUCACGCAGCUCGACUCUACCCUCUCUCACGCGUGCUGGGCCCGUGGCGCGGACCCCCCUUUUCUCCUGUUCCACUUACCCGCCGGCCUUUUUCUCCUCCUGACGGCCCCUUGGGCCGUUUUCUUUUUCUUUUUCCUUUCACCGGUCCGUUACUGGCCCAACGGCCCACUUCUUCUUUUCCUUUCCUCCCGUGAAAACUGGCCUACGAAAACCUUGGGCCUCCGGCCUCUUUCUUCAGCGGUCCACCGCACCAACACCUGGGCCGUCGACAUUGCGGCCCAGCUGACGCCGUGCUCGACCGGCCCCUCUCUUCUCCUUCUCCCCUCUGACUCGCGGGCCCGACGCUCCAGCGUCUUCUUCUUCCUCCCGCCAAAACGCGCGCGCGACAGGGGGCGGCGCGACUCGCCGGCCGGCGCCCUACCGGCGGCGGAGCUAGGUCAGGACAGCACUUCUGUGCCUUCACGCACCCGCGCGCGGCAACAGCUCCUCGGGAGAUGGCCGGAGCCACUCCCUCCACGGCGGCGGGCGGCGGCACCUUCGGCCGGUCACGGCUACGCACGACGUCGGCACAAACUACUCGAACAACUGCUACUACACCAUCCUAGUAUCCUAAGGACCUGCCUAAGACUACCCAAGAAGGAAGGGAACCAGCGCAAGGGGUGCUCACCGUGAGCGGAAGGCGCGGCGAUGGCGGACAGAAACGGCGGCGGUUUAAGGUGUGCCGGCGAAGAAGCUGGGCAACAAGCUGCUGGGGUUGCUGGUGGGAUGUGGGCGGAGGUGUGGACGGAGGGAAUCGACGGGAGCUGUGGUGUGGCGGUGGAAUUUUACCCGGCGGCGGUGUUUGACAGAGAAGGCGGCGGCGGUAAGAAAAAGCGGCGGUAAAACAGCUGCGCGGGAGCGGUAAAUAUAUGAAUGGCUUACCGCGCGCAUGGGCGACACCGUGGCCUACUCGUAGGCUUGCGUGGUGAGGAGGUGGCGUAACCGUUGCGCUGGCGAGCGACCGACGACGGCGGCGGCGACACGUCGAGCUCGCUCUGCUGCUCUUCCCCUUUCUGAUUUCGGGUGCCCGAAAAUUCAGAGUUUCCUCACGGUUGAUUUCCAAUCCGACGGUGUAUAAGUGUCUUAACCGAAGUUGUAGAUAAACUUGAACUCUUCAAAUUUUAUUUUGGCUCUACCCCGAGAUAAACAUCCGAGCACAGUGUAAUUUGAAUUUCUUUCUCUACUUCAACUGAAUUUCACUGAACUCAAAGUUCAGUUCGUCAGUAAUACCACAGUGUCAUUUGCCUUACUUUGGGAACAAAUUUGGUGAUCCAAACCCUCCUUUUCCAGUCCAACUUCUUCCCAUUCGUGUUCUACCAUAUCCAAGGUUUCCAUUUUGCCCAAAAACACAUACCUCUUUUGAUCCACAUUCCUCUGAAAUCCAUUUCAAAGUCAGCCACCCACGGCUGUUUCAGACUUAGUCAUUUCGGCAAGACAAUCACCUGUGACAAUGUGCUGACUUUGAGCUUGGAUUUGAAUUCGUUCCCCUCACUAUUCCUGAUCAACAACAACCAAUUCUAGGAGUCCAAAGUUCAUACUUCAAUAUGGUAUAGUUGUCCUGAUCCACUUACUUGAAAAAUUCAUCAGAAUUCAAUUUUCAAAAUGGACUCUGAGGCUGUUUUUCUGAAUUUCUAUUUUCGGACGAUGAACAGUGAGUUCAGUUUUCCAUUUUCUUUCUUUAAUUCCUUUGAGAUAUUUAGGACCAUUUCUGUUUCAAAUUCUUGAUCCUCAAGUUCUAAUUACUCUUACACUUCUAUUCCAUAUUUUUGCCGAAUUUUUCUGAAUUUCAAAUUCAAAAUUCGAAUUUCGGCCAAAUUUGACCUGAAUUUGAUUUUCGGCCAAUUUCUUUUUCUUUUCUUCUCGAAUUGCUUCCAAUUCUUCAAAAUCACUUUGAUGACUAAAAUGGCAGGUGUUACAGCCUCUCCCCCUUAACAGAAUCUUGUCCCGAGAUUCUCGGGGUUAAAUCCUUGGUUUUGAGAAUGGAAAGAAAACUGCGUCAGGUCAACUAUUCUUCCUUUUUCUGUACAAGGAUAGUGGGGUGGCUUGUGUUCAUCUAUUCCGGUGGAUGUGGAUCGGAUCGGACGAGCCGGACACAGCUGAUGAGCUGAAGCUGAGUGAUGGACUUGGACGCCACGAGAUGCAUUUUUAUUUAUUAUAGGGGAAAAUCGUAAAAUCAAUUAACAUUACUUUGAAAUUCUCCCUCCAAAGUUGUUUUGUUGCAAAUGCACACCUCUUACUUCACUCUGAGGCAAAAACUGCACACUGCGUACUUGUCAAUUUCACUUUUUUCCCCUGAUGUCGCAAAUGAUUCGCGGAGGCAACUCAAAAUCAAAAUAAUAUAAUUGGCUCUUUUUUUGCAGUAUUUUCUUAACACAUAUUUGCAUAAUCCCAUUUAAUCCAGGGUAAAAGCUUUGGGGUAUGUUUUGGCUUGCAACUUUGCUACACUUGUUUAACUUGUGGCCAAGAUAAAUGACGCAAAGGUAGCCAAAGAAAAUCAUGCCAUAAUUUCAUGCCUAAGGAUCUAUUUGGGGGGGAAGUUACUAGUUGUUUAACAUUGUGGCAAAGUGAAAUGACGUACAACUUAGAGCUUUUGAACUUUUUUGAAAAGCUGUUGUUGGUUUUUUUUCUAAAAAUCCAAUACAACUUUUAAAAAAUGUGUUUAGCUUUUUGGGGUCAAAAAGCUAAAAAAAAAACUAAAAAACUGAGCUUUUCAACUUCCCAUAUAAACUUAGCUUUUCCGAACUUCUGGUUUUUCAAAAACUGCACGAGAAGUUUGCUAUUUGUUUGAGCUUCUGGCAGAGAGUCUCAGUCAUAUCUAAGAGAAUCGUGCCAUAGCAUCAUUACCAAGGGUUUAUUUGGCAAAAAGGAUUAGAGCCUCUUUCAAACUAAAGGAUUCUCAAACGUAGAGAUAGAAAAAAGAAUAGGAUUUUGAGUUAGUUGGUAGUUGCAAUUCUACGGGCCAAUAGAAUACAAGCACUUUCCAAUCGAGGGUCCGGAGAUAUCACAUAAAAAAUAGGAAUGUAAGAAAAGAUAUAAACUCAAAGAGGUUGGACCCCACAUUAGAACAACUUUGAAUUCAGAUGAAUUCGCCUAGGAAUAUAUAAAUUUUUGGAUGGCCAACACUCUUUUGUUACAAAGCUACUUCAUGUAGGAUUUAAACCCUACAAAAUUCCUACGCCAAUAUUUAUAUGCGGAGGAACUUAAUUAAGACAAAGACUCAUUUCAAGGCAAGCAACUUAACAAAAUGGGGCUAUUUGCAAAGUUUAGUGAUAUCCUUGCUCAGUUCCAAAUUUUAAGUCGUCUUGGCUUUUCUAAAUACAUAAUUUUUAUCAUGUAUCUAGAUAUAGCGUUAUCUAAGUGCAUAUCAAAAGCUAUAUAUUUAGAAAAUCAAAACAUUUAUAAUUUGGAAUGGAGAAAGUAUUAAACUUCCUUAAAAUUGUUUCUUGUGUGAUCUCAAUCUAUUCGGGCUAGCCAACCCCACCAAGUACAUACAUGAGCUUGUUGCACACUAACAUGUACGAGAAAAGCAAUACUUCCUCCAUUUAUUUUUAGUAGGCUUGUUAGGGAUUUAAAAAGUCUUUAAAGAUAUAUUUUGACCACUAAUUUAUAUUAUAAAUAUAUUAUCAAUUGCUACAAAAUUAAAGUGGUACAAUCUCCAUUUUAGAUAAUUGGUAACUUUGACUUUCAUUAUUCAAUAUUUGAUUAAAACUAUAUGUUCAAAUAUUUGGUUAAGUUAAACAAGAAAGUAUCACUAGAUAGGUUACAAAAGGUACUUCAAAGUUAAAACAUUCACUGAAAAGACGAACAUUCAAACAAUGAAUAGUGAAGUCGAAGUUGUUAAUUAUUUUGAAGCAUAGGAUUGCACUAAAAAGAUAUUUGAAAUACAAAUUGUAUUCAUAUAACUUUUUACAUUAAGUAUACAUAUAAUUUGAUUAAUUUAUUGGUAAAAAUAAUGAAGUUAAACUUUAAAUUCCUAAUGCGUCUACGAACAAAUAGGUAACUAGAUUUCCAAAAAAAAAGAAAAUUGAGCUCUUUCGGUCAUUCAACAUGCUGAGCGAGUGAGAACCAAGCACAACUUAAUUGGUUAGUAAAGUUUGUUAUACCUUCUACUCAUCAAGGAUGAAGCUCAAAUUUUAUGUAUUUGUUACGCCCGGUUUUUUUAUGUAUUGUUUGUCUGAUUAAUUAAUGUAGCAUGCGACGUGCUUUUUGAUGGAGAAGUGUAUGCAAUUGAUAUUUAUAGGACAGGCGUUUAUAUGCGUGGCCGCGUUUUGUUUUCUAAAAAAAUACUAAAUCUGUCAUCUCGAAGAAUAUACUUGUGUACACAUAGCUACGGAGUACACCUCUACCGCUAGUCUAUCUACGGCACUCAUAAACAAGAAACGUUCACCCUCCAAAUCUUCACGUCAGAGUCCAGCGAUCCGCUGCAAACAUGAGCUGCAGAGCAGGAGCAGCACCCGUCGCACGAGCCAUCGUGAUCACCUCCCGAUUUCUUCACCAACGUCAAGCUCUUCACUGCUCCAGCAUGGCCGUCGAGCACGGCCAGACAGGUGUAGCCCGCUCCUGCCGCUCCCCUCCUCCACACUCUCACCGUCCUGUCCGCCGAACCGCUGCACACCACGUCCCCGGCGGCGGCCACGCACAGCACGGCCUUCAUGUGACCCCUGAGCGUCGCAGUGGCAGACAUGGCACCACCGCCUGCACACUCCCAGACCACGACGGAACGGUCGCACGCGCCGGAGUAGAGCACCCGCCCGCCGACACCCAGCGCCAGCGCGUUCACCGCCGCCUUGUGGCGCUCCAUGGUGCCGACCAGCGCGAGCUUCCCCUGCCGCCCCGGGCGGCGCCUCCACGCCUUGACCGUCCUGUCGGCCGAGCCCGUGUACACGCUCCCGUCGGCCGACACGGCCACGGCGUUGAUGGCGUCGUCGUGUGCCGCUGCGAUGGACUCGGCGCAGCGGAGGCCCGGCAGCCGCCACGCCUUGAGGCUCCGGUCCCACGACACGGAGUACAUCUCCGCGCCGUCCGGGGACAGCGCGAGCGCGGUGACCGCGUCGGCGUGGCGCACCCAGGUGCGCCUCCGGUGCCGCCGGACCUCCACGUAGUUGCUGGGGAACAGGAACGUCCGCAGGUGGUCGGCGGCGGUCGGCAGGACGGCGCGCAGGGCGAGGUGGUGGUCGGAGCUCCCGUUCCUCCGGGCGGGAUGAUGCCACACUCUGAUCUUGCCGUCCUGGUGCGAGCUGACGAGGCCGUUGCUGGUGGCGAUGGCACACUUUAUGGAACUGUUGGUGACUGCAACCGUAGAGCUGGACUGCCCGUGCUCGGCUUGUCGCACGUCCAUGGCCAUGUCCAGCGGCCACAGCCUGAUGUGUCCAUUUGACGAGGCUAUGUAGAGUGAGUCGCCGUCGAUGGCGAGGCUGGAGACGUAGAACGAGUUACCUUUGAGGGUGGCAAUGCACUGGUAGAGGCAUGAACUCAAGCUUGGGUUCGCGGAGUUCUGCAAGGAAGGGCGAUUCGAUUGCGACAAGAAUGAUAUGGUGUGUUCCGUCUCAGAUACAUCCUGGGCUUGGGUUUCUUCUUGCCUAAUAGAACUCAUGGAAAACCUGUCAUUGGAGUCAAGAACUCACUGCAUACUUGCAACCUGCUGCAUGUGGAAGCAUAGAAAGAAGGUUAUGAUAAGCAUCAGUAAGGCAGUGGGUUAUCUUUAUAGUAAGUGACCUGAAGGAUGAGAUCACAGUGCAGAAAGAUCCAGCUGAGAGGUACUUGAGUGGGGGAAAAGACAGUCUGGAGCGCUUUAGAUUCUGGGGACAAAACUCUUGGUAAAACGUCUGUGUCAACAUAGCUACAUUCAAAUAGAAAAUUAUGCGCCUAUAUGGACUAGCUUUCACCGGAUAAUUCAUGGCGACUUUCUAACAGGUAAAGGUGAUCUAGGCUCCUCAUUGUUCCUAGCAGAGAAACAGGUCUAGGGUCUGUCAAGAAAUGCAUAUGCACACCUGAUGCGGAUUUGCCUUGCCGUGUUGGGAAUACAUUCAGCUUCCUUUUCUUCCUUGCCCCGCCCCGCCGCCACCCCCCACCGCCCCAAACACACACACUUUUUCUUCCAUCAAAAGUGAGCUUGCAAUGAUAACUUGGGUGUAAUUUGAUCUGAUCUCCAUUGAAGCUCGUUUCAGAGUGAUUUCAACAGAUUUUGCUGCAGUGAUAUAUUUUGUAAACAUGGUAAAAGAAGAGAACUCUAUGAUUUGUUAUCAUAUCAGAUAUUUAACAUCAAGAAGCCCCAUAACCAAUGCACCUGGCAACAACUACUACUUAACGAGGCACAUCAAUAUGACAAUUAUCUCGCACUCAAAACAAGUUUCAGGUAAAAAAGGGUAUUCGAUGCAAAGACAUGGGGGCCAUGUAUCAAUUUCCAUUUACAGUUGAGGUGCAAUUCAACAGAGCAUUUGGACAUAAACUUGUUAUGAACAACAUAGGGUUGGUGUUUUUCUUGAAGAAAAUUGAUGGAAUUGUAUUGCCAAAGCUCAUGGACUCAGUUCCACUCAAAAACAGUUGCAUAAAGCACUAAGCCACAGAAUUUUUUAAGCUAAAAAUUGCAAUGGUUCUGCCCUACAAAUCAAAACGAUUCUCAAAUGUAAAGAAUAUCCUAAAGACAGGAUUAGCUACUUUAAAUCCCUCAAAAACAGAUUUUAGCUGCUUUAAGGUCUUCUGUCUGGUGAAAACUGUGCUCUCAAGAAGCAAAACUAAAAAUUAAUAGCCUAGCUGUGAGAAGAAUAGAACUACUACGCUAGCUCGGGAAGGACCCCACUUGAAAAGCCCAAUCGAUAUGUCACAGCACAAGAAGCAGACAGACACUAAACAUGUUGCAUUAUCCAUUGCUUAUCAUCAAGGACCGAAAGACAUGAUGCAACACAACAGCGAUAAGAUAGGCACUGCUAAAGCUAGUGCAGGAAAGCCUAGUGUAUCACCAGAUAAACACAAGCUCUGCAUUCUCACUCUCACAACUAGUGAAUUCUCACUUGACAAACAAAAAAAGACUCGUGAAGGAGAGGAGAGGUAUGAAAUUAAUCAGGAGCCACUGCCAUAUGAAAAGUUUAGAUCUACUGAUCAGAACAAAUAGAUAAACUCUCGGAAGACUAGCAGUUGCUGAGUUAUGAGAUAGAAGAACUAUGUGAUGAUUUCAAGCUUGAGGCUUAGCCAUAAACAGUGAAUAAAAACUUAAAAUGUCGUCAACUUGUUCACACACAUGUGCAUGCACACAAGAGCAUAUGCACAGGAUGAUAAAUUAGUAUACUCGAUAUAUUUAACUAGGAAGUUAAAGUGACUUUAUGGAGCCUUUCAGAAGCACUCAGACAAGAUUUGUGCCAGAAACAAGACCAUAAUUCUUGUCGAACUAGCUCAGCUCCUACAAUUAACUUUCAAUUCAUGAAAAUCAAACUGUUGUGGACCUGAAAUAAAUAGUUGUAAAUAAAACCCAUAGCUAAAUCCACAAGUUAAGAUAUUUUUACAUUGUUACUAAAUUAUUUUUUUGAGGGAAACAGGAGGGGUUGCCCCGAGGGGUUGUUACUAAAUUAUGCACAUUCCUACCGAAAAUGGUAUGUGAAAAUUGAAAAAAGUAUAUGGUAGUCAUAGUUCUUAACACUGCAGAUGACCGUUGCAUCUCCUCUAAUAUACUUUUUGUAACCACGGUUGGUUAAAGACAUAUAGUCUUCUAACAAAAGCAAAUUCCAUAUUUCUCAGUGUUGAGGAAGAAAUAGCGCAUGCUUAAUUGAACAGAACCAAAUCGACAGUAUUAAUCUUGAAUGACACAGCAACCACAAUGCAAUCCCCACUUGGACAUUUAGUCGAGCAUCUGGUGAACGACAGCUAUUUGAGCACAGCAGAGGAAGCAGGAGGAUCCACAGUCGUGGCUUUGCCACGCACUGGUUGGAGUGGACCAGUUCUUAUGCAUCUAGUUUUCUCGUCCUAUAGGAUUUUUUGAAUUUGAGCCCCAUGUCAAUCUCUCAGUAUGGGGAAAAGAAUCUGGACACCAUCAAUGUUAGAAGCACUUAAUCAUCUCAAUUAUUCAAAAAUAUUGAUUAAACAUUCACAAGUUCGAUGAAGAUAUUAUAUGCAGAAAGCUCUUGAAAUGCCUUGACAAUAAUGUGAGAUACAUAGUGUAGAUAAUAUAUUACAUUUUUAUUGAUAAGGUAAGUCCGUGAAAAAUUUAUAAACAUAGGUUCUGAACAUGAACAAGUUCUGAGCAUAAGCACUGCAAGAAGUUGUAUAAGUAUGUAGAUGGCACCAGAGAUGGUAGCAUUACACAAAGAGGAUUAGAAUCCCAACUUGGACCUAUAUCAGCUUGAAGCCACUAACGAAAUUAAUUAUGGAGUUUUUAUUUUUAAACCAUUGGAUCAUCCUAGUCUAUCCUAUGGAGACAUUUAAUGUCUGUUUUAAUUGAAAUUGUACACUGAAACUUAAAUACAAACUUAGAACUAAAGUGAAGAUUCGAUCUGUUGUAAAAUACUGUUAGAGGUGAAAAAGAACUUGUUAAGCGCCGGUUCUGCCUUUACCUUGUUACUCGGAGUGGUAAAAUGUCAUAGUUGUAAAUAUCUGCAGAUAAUGGAUGGGGAAAAAAUCUGCAGAUAAGCAGCUAUGAAAAAAAAAUCCUAGAUUAGACUUAAUACUUAAAAUUGUAAUACCUAUUUCCAUUAUUUCAUACAUUUCAGGCCAGACACUCAAAAUAAUAGACAAAAAUUAAUGCAAUAAUAGAUAAGCCUAUUUGUAAAUCAUUAAACUGUAAAUAGCUAGCCUGAUCUCCCGAGACAGUGAUUAAACUGUUUGAACAGCAUCUGAGUCAAGCAGCAUAGAGGAUAGACAUGUCCCAUGGACAAGCAGAAGAGGAGGAGAAGAUGUUGGAUUGAACAUCUGAGUCAAACCGCAUAGAAGAUGCCUGCUCAUUUCCUUCCCCAGAUUUGGGUUCAAUGUGUCCUUAUUUCUGGUUGUGGUUGGUAAUUCAAAUAGUUAUUCAAUCACCACAGUAGCUCACGUAGGCAAAUGAUCGAGCAUAUCGUGUGCAUAACAGAAUUCAACUGAGAGCAACCAACAUCAUCUCCACUGGUAUGAGUACUUGGGCUCGGCUGCAGCAUGAUACGACGCCAAUCAACGACAGCAGGCAGUUUCGACAUCUCAAGCUCACGGAAGAAGGAUGGCCUUUCCUGAGCUACAACCACUCCGAUUCGCCGCGUCCUUACCGUGCUACUGCAUGCAGCCAGCGUACAUCGCAGUCGCCAAGGAUGUCUCACCUUGGAGCCGCGGUGCCGCGUGGCUGGGGGUGCAACGACCAUGUAUUGUGACCAAGGUCCGGCGGACGGCACUGUGGAUGGAGCGCAGCAGGUCGGCCAACGGCAGCGGUGCGACGGAGAUCAACUCCAGGUCUCCAGCUACCAUCCCUUUGUCCACCCUCUCCUCCACCUUGCGAACACAUGGGGAGGAUAAAGGUUGCGCUGCUGCUUCUCAUCUGAGUUGUGCCGCGCCGCGCUGCCACCACAUCUCCUCCUGAUGAUCGCCAUGGUGUCGGUGCGCUUCCAUUGGCGUCUCCACAAGGCAGAGAGAGUAAGACGCGGCAGGUGGAGCGAAUGCUCUUAAGGCGGACAGCGCAGCGAUAGGGUAUGCGAUCGGGACGAGACGCUGGAAAGUUCGACACAAAAGGAGAAAGGUCUGGUGAAACGCGAGGUGCUGUGGCCGUGGUCCAAUGGCUGACUUAACUGCAACAGGAAGAUCGAACGGAUGAGCUUCGCUGGUGACGUGGCCUAAUAAAAUGAUCGAGCUUGGCGCAGGAUUCAUACUAUAGAGAUUACUAAUUGUAUAGCAGAAUUGCAAAUUAGAUUGCUUGAAGUUUUGUUUUCAACUCUAGUUAGUUUUCAAACUCUAUUAUGAUGAUUUUACCGAAUUCACUACCGGAAACAGUAACUUUGCCGAGUGCCCCAGGCACUCGGCGAAGGGCCAAGGGUUUGCCGAGUGUAACACUCGGCGACCUUUACUCGGCAAAGUUUUUCUCGGCAAACAGUGUGUUUGCCGAGUGUCGACCAUCGGCCAAGUGCCGCAAUACACUCGGCAAAAUAUGACACUCGGUACAAAGACGUUAACGGGCUGUCACGGCGACGGAAGCUUUGCCGAGUGUCUGACGGCCAACACUCGGCGAAGUCUACAUCUUUGCCGAGUGUUUCCCUAAAUACACUCGGCGAAGUUUACAUGUUUGCCGAGUGUUUCCCUAAAUACACUCGGCGAAGUGUACAGGUUUGCCGAGUGUUUCCCUAAUUACACUCGGCGAAGUUUACAUCUUUGCCGAGUGUAUUUAAUAAAACACUCGGCAAAGAUGCCCGUCCCGCCAUUUUUUAUGCCCCCUUUGCCGAGUGUUUUUUUGAAAACACUCGGCAAAAUGGUCUUUGUUUGCCGAGUGCCUACCCUAUGGCACUCGGCAAACAAGCAAUUCCGCCAAAUUGUUUGGCCCCUUUGCCGAGUGUUUGAAGAAUACACUCGGCAAACCCGUCUACUACUACCAGAAAUGGCCUCUUUGCCGAGUGUUAACACUCGGCAAAGUGUCCUAAUUCCUGCUACAAAAUAGAAAUGUUAGGUAUAAAGGACCCCUCUCGAAAACAACCACAGAUACACAGGCAUAUUAAUUGCAGCACAAGCAUAUAAAUUCCACCACAGGAUUCACAAGCACACAAAUAGCAUUCAUAAGUUCUCGUCUAAAUAAGCAAUUCACAUGUUUUGCAUCACAAACACAGAAAUGACAAGUCACUGAGGAGGAUGAGGAGGACGUGCAGGUGGCCACUGCCCCCAGGAAGAUUCUGCAUUGGACGCCGCCGAUUGAUUCUGCACAAAUGUAGGUAAAGAGAUUUCAUAGUCUAAACAAGUAAUUCUAGUGGAAGUAAGUCUAGAUUGAUUGUAAGGUUGAGAUUGACUCACAGGAGUAGCUGCAGGAGGUGGUGGAGGUGGCGGGAAGAGGUUCGGUGGCAUAGGUAGUGGAGUUUGACCUAAACUGUGGAACACACUCUGCAUGUAUUGGAACAUCUGCUCCGUCCUCUGCCUUUCAAGCUGCCGAUCCGCCUCGAUCCUCGCCUCUAGUUCCUCUUGGCGCUUCCGUUCUACCUCCACCUGGGCCUACAAUAUUUCAUCCCAACCACUUAUUGUCAAGCAAAAGGUAAGUACAAAAUGAAUGAAAAAUUAAAGAAACACAACUAACCUGCAGAGUCUGCAUCUGUAGCUGUGCAGCGGUAGGCCGUGGCCGUAUCGCGGGGCUCGAGUCCGUGCUCCUUGCUCGGAUCUGGGAGAGAGUGGGAGUACUGGCAGUGUCGAUCACGCUAUCUCCAAUCCAAUACCUGCCAUGCUUCUUCCCUCCUCCUACCCUCAUCACUAUUUCAGCAUCGAUAUCCUGAGAGCUCGGAUCGAACUCUGGCCCGUGAACCUCCCUCGCCAUGGCUGUGUACUCGGUGACGCGGCUGUGGAUGCUGGGAUGGCUGUACGCCUCGGGCGGGUCCUCCGGGUUGAAGUCGAUGUCUGCCGUGGCCUUGCCCUUUUUAGACAUAACCCAUGCCUUGAACCGGGAGCACUCCUGACCAUCAUGUGAUGAAGUCUGCGGAAAAAAUGUAAAAUGAUUACAAAAUAUGCAGUAUUAUGUCUGAGAAAACAGAAAUGAAUUCACGUACCCAUUUUUCCUUGUACUCAUCAAGGCUCAGGCUACCUUGAUGGUGUGAUGCUUAUGGCAUCUGCAGACGCCGCUCCCGGCAGGCAUUGUGGAUCUCCAACCACCCAGGCUGCAACCACACGUCCACCAUUUUUUCCCAGCACCGGGUAAAGGAUCGGCACCACCACGGAGGCACCUAUAUGAAGUGUGACAUAUAAAUAACGGAAUUAAGCGUAAUUAAUCUCUCAAAUAGUAAAUAUAGUCUUUAUGUACGUACCGCCAUGAAUUCUUCCUUGGUCAGGUUCAUUGUCCUGGCCUCUUCUUUUUUGAUCCUCAUCCUUUUGUAUUCAGCAUAAAAGUCGAUGAUGGCCUGAACGCGCGCCUCGUAGUGCAUGUCCUUAACAAGCUUCUUAGCGGCUUGUUCAAUCACGGAGGCCGCCCUAGCCUCGAAGCCCUCCUGACAUCUAUAAAAGUCCUGCGUAUAGACGGCAAGCAUACAAUUAUUAUAUCAAGAAUGUAUUAAGCAAUGUAGUGCUGCGAAGACUUACCCACAGCUCGACCUUCACCCGCUCCGCCUUGUUCGCAAACUGCCUGUGGUCACGAUCACCGACGUCGGUGGCAGCGACGUAGUGGUCCCACGUGUAGGCCGGCUCCUCCUGUCCGACGAAGACCACUAGACCGGGGAAGUGUAGCCUACACAAAAGACCGACGAUGCCGUUGACCUUGCGGUUGUGGGCACCCCCACUGAGCUUAGUCCAACUCCUGCACAAGUGAUUAAUAUGUGAGUUUGAACAUAUCAAAAGUACAGAGAAUAUGUGAAGAAACUUACUUUGCCCCAGCGGGUUGAAUCAGGGGGCGUAAAUGAAGAGGGAUGGGUCGCCUCGGGAGGGACGAGGGACCUCGCAACCAGAUCUUGGACUGCUCCUCCCCUCCCUCCUCCCCUGCCUCCUCCCCCUCCUCCCUCUCCUGCUCCUGCUCCUCCUGUACCUCCGCCUCGUCACUAGAGGCGUGCGCGGAGGGUACCUCCUCCUCCUCCUCCUCCGACGACGACGAAGGCACAGGCGACGUGGCCCUCACCCCUUUACCCUUUCCUCGACCCCUGCCCCAACCCCUGCCUCUAGCCAAGACCUGUGCCCCCACCGCUUCCUCCACGGGUGCGUCACCCCUGCCUCCACCCCUCCCUCGACGCCUUCCUCGACCUCUCGAUGCGUCUGACCGUGUACCUGACCCGGAAGCUGCAGCUUUUAAUUUUUCGUAAAGCGCUGCGAUCUUCCUCGUACCGCCCACCAUUGUUCAAUCACCUGCAUUUGCCAAGAGUAAACCAAUCAGCACAUAUAUAAAUAAAACAUAAUUUCAAAAAUAACAUGGUAUGAAAAAUAAUAAAUAAAUUAUUACGAUCCAUACAUGUCUUAGAAAUAAUCGUCAUGAUCGGGAUUAGCUGGAUCAUAAGUCUCAUCGUCACUGUCACGCGUGUCAAACAAAUCAUUCCCGUGCUCCGAAGUUUUAGCGUCAUCAUCAAUGUCCUGUCCUAACUGUAACCGCUGAAGUAAUUCUAACUCCUUCAUAUUAUGAACCUCCUCUCCAGCGUCAUCGUCAACAACCCUUUCAUUGUCUACUUCCAUUGCAAAAGCGUCGGUUAAAUCAAUCUCAAAAAUCUCCGUCAUAUGUGUUGGGGUUAAUGUUGUAAUCUUCAUUAUUUGGUACAGGUAGUUUACCGUGUGGCGAUACCUUGUACACAACAUCCCAACCCUUCAGACGAUCGUCAGUUUGGCACGGGUAUGACAAAUAAUAAACUUGCGUGGCCUGUUGAGCCACAAUAUAGACAUCGUCUCCUUGGAAGACGGAUGAUUGCCGAAUUUCGACUAACCCAAGAUUAGGUGCCCGUCUCACGACUGAUGGAUCAAACCAAUGGCAUUUGAAUAUGACAUGAUUAAGAACUUUGCAACCAUGAAAAAUUAGUUCGUAUAUUUCUUCAAUUCUUCCGUAGUACUCGACACCAUCAGAGCCUAGCGUGAAUACUCCGGUAUUUGUCGUUCCUCGAUUGGGCCGACUCUGCUCAUGGAUUGUUGUGUGAAAACGAUAACCAUUUACGUCAUAACCGGUAAAAGAUCUGACCCUGUAGGCAUAGCCAUCGGCAACCUGUCUAACCUCAACAUUUAUAGACGAAACGGUUUGAGCCUGCAAGUUGAAGUAGGGUGGUUCGUUAUAUUAUUCGCAUGUACGGCAAACUUGGAACGUGGUAAUCAUGAACGAGCGAAAUUGGAUUGUACCUUAUGUUUGAACCAAGAAAUAAAAUCGGGCAUUCCAUUACCCGCACCCUUUUGAAGAAGGGUCUCGGCUUCGUGCGGGGUAGGUUCCCUUGAAUUACGCCAGAAUUUACGAUGAAAUUCCCUGUACCAACGAGAAACAUGAGAGUUGAUCCCAGAAUAGUGAUUAAUUGAGAACAAACUAGUUUGUUCACAACUUACAGUAUGUACGGCUCCACCUCGGCAAGGUUGGUCAAUACAUACAGCAUGAUAGUGCGCCACUCUUUAUGUUUCAAUUUCUUCUGUGUCGCACCACUUGCACUUCCAAGUUGUCCUCGAAAAAGGCUAAGGCUCGAUUCAACUUCUGAGUCAUUAUAACGAGCGGGUGGAUUGUGCACGCUAGGAAGGUUGUCAGCAUAGUAUUUGGUUGUGAAGUUUGACACCUCCUCCAGAAUGUAUGCCUCUGCAAUGGAUGCUUCAAUUUUGCAUUUAUUUUUACAUUUAGUUCGAAGGACCUUUUGACAUCUCUCAAUUGAAUAGCACCAACGACCCUGCACAGGCCCCCCCAUUCGUGCUUCAUACGGGAGGUGCAAAAUCAUAUGCUGCAUCGGAUUGAAGAAGCCAGGCGGAAAGAUCUUCUCCAACUUACAGAGCAACACAGGUGCCAUUCUUUCCAUUUCUGCAACCACGGUCCGAGAUAAUUCCUUAGCACAAAGCUGACGGAAGAAAUUGCUCAACUCCGCUAGCACUUGCCAGACAUUAUUAGGUACAUAGCCUCGAACCAUCACCGGGAGUAGGCGCUCAAGCCAUACGUGGUAAUCAUGACUUUUGAGCCCGUUGAUUCGCAUAGUAGCUAGGUUCACUCCCCUCUUCAAAUUCGCUACAUACCCAUCAGGGAACAUUAACGUUUGGAACCAUUCUAAUACCUCGCUCUUUUGGGCCCUCGUCAGGACAAAAUCGGCCUUAGGCUUUCUCCACGACUUGCCGGCUCUAGGAGGCACCAUGUCUAGCUUUGGUCUGUUGCAUAACCUUGCUUGAUCCACUCUAGCCUUAACGUUAUCCUUUGUCUUGUCAGGAAUGUCCAUGAUUGUACCAAAAAUUGCCUCAGCGAUGUUCUUUUCAGUGUGCAUAACAUCAAUGUUAUGUGGGAGAAGAAGAUCGUCAAAAUAGGGGAGAUUCCACAAGCAAGACUUCUGAGUCCAAGCAUGUUGCUCGCCAUAUCCCACAAACCCACCUUCAUGAUUAUUGACCUCAAGAGCGUCUAUCUGAGCACGAACCAAGGCUAAGGUCAACAUCUGCGGUGGGGGCUCAUUAACUACGACAUCUUUCGUAAAAUUUCUAAUAUCUGUUCUGAAAGGAUGGUCAGGAGGAAGGAAUUGUCGAUGUUUGUCGAAUGAAGAAUACUUGCCACCCUUGGUCAACCAAGUGAACUUCACUGAAGCCUUGCAUACUGGGCAGGGGAACUUCCCGUGAACACACCAGCCACAGAAAAUACCAUAUGCCGGCAAGUCAUGCAGGGAGUAGUGGUACCAAAUAUGCAUCUUGAAGUUUGUCCGUGUAGGCCGGUCGUAUGUCCAUACCCCUUCCUCCCAUGCACGGACCAAAUCAUCUAUCAGAGGCUCCAUGUACACACUCAUAUUAUUCCCUGGGUGUUCUGGAAUUAUCAACGAUAAAAAUAUGUUUUGUCGCUGAAAGAUGACACCAGGGGGGAGAUUCAGGGGGAUAACAAACAUAGGCCAACAUGUGUACGGGGUAGCCGCCAUUCCAUAUGGAUUGAACCCAUCUGUUGCGAGCGCAACACGUACAUUACGAGCCUCUCGAGCUUUCUCAUCAUAAAUGGCAUCAAACUUUGUCCAGGCUUCACCAUCGGAUGGAUGUACCAGCUUGUCAGCAUUGUAUCGACGUCCGUUUUUAUGCCAUGUCAUUUGUUUCGCGGAUUCUUCACACAUGUACAGCCGUUGGAUCCUCGGUAUGAAGGGAAGGUACCGUAGAAUCUUCACAGGGAUUGCAAGCUGCUUCUUCUGACCGUCACCAGAGUCUACCUCCAGGAAUCUAGAUGAUUCGCACUUCACACAGUACUUGGCUUCCGCAUAUUCUUUCCUAAAUAAGAUGCAUCCCUUCGGGCAAGCAUGUAUCUGCUCGUAUGGCAUCUUAAGUGCACGAAGAAGUUUUUGUGCCUCAUACUGUUGGCGCUAGAAAUCGGUCAACCGAAUCCCAGCGACCGACACACGACCCGGGAGAAUCUGCUUAGCUCCUGUUCGGGUGAAUGCCCUGAUGCGGUUCGCGCGGCGUGCCAGCCAAUCUGACCUGUUGAUUGGCAAGGAAGAACACGUGUCAGGUUCAGAAACUACGAUCGGCUAAGUUUCCGAUCGAGAGAGUUUAUCAGCGAAUCGGCCGAUUUACUAUGAUAAUGAAAUCGGCUAUAAGACAGCACGAUCCCUGUAGCCUUGUAGACGGAAAAAUACUAAAGUAAUCGGUACAAAGCUUGUGAUAACAGCACUAGGAAAAGAUCUAAUCGGCAACGGAUGGAUCUAACGAUAGAAAAUAAUGAAAGCCGAUACUACCGAUUCCUAGCGGGAUAAUUGGUGAUAAAAACUAGGAAAACAGGUAAAAACCUAUGAAUCUAGUUGAUAUCGAUAACUGAUGAAUAAAUCUAAACGAAACAACAGCGAUGCGCCGGAAGUUAAAGCUUAGAUAUUACUCGAUAAACGGAACUUACAGAAUCGGCCGGAGAUCAAGAUGAUGCAGCCCUGCCAAUCCGCACGAACUCGUGAGAAGAAAAAAGUAACGGCGAAGUCGCCUGCUCGAAAGUAAGUACGAAGAAGAAAGUAACUUGUUGUAUUGAUUGGUUGAUGAUUACAGAUUUACAAAGGUAGCUAUUUAUAGCCCCGUACAGAUAACUUCUUAACCGACUAGAAUUCUAUCUCUAAUUCAAACAGAAAACAAACAUCUACAAGCACAAUUCAUGCUAGGUUAGUUAUCCCACGCUUCGUGGGCUGACCCCCACCUUAUCCUUCCAUCCCUUUCCAAACCCAUACAGGCCCAAUUAGCCCAUCCUCUUAAUCGGCCGAUUUCCCAUCGGCAAAAGAUUACCGAUUGGGAUUCUGGUGCAUUCAUCCUGAAGUGAGACAAAAGUCGUCAGCCGAUCCCGCACUACAGCACCAUUUGACCGAUUCCCAACUGUAGUUCUCCGAUUUCUUUCUGCUUGGCGCCGAUUCUACUGGUGACGAAAUCCGGCGUCAACACAUGCCCCCCAGUUUCGGAGUAAAACACAGUCUUUUACUUUGAAAUUCUUUUAUAACCUCUCCUCCAAAACGGCCGCAGUGAAAAUAUCCUUCCGUUUCGCGGUCUCCCGGCUGAUCAUUGCAAUUUUGAAACGGGCGCCCACGACAGCCACUACCCCGAAAAACUCGAAGCGCCGGCGCGGUGAAAAUUCCAUCUUUACCCUUUCUUCAGGCAUCCUAUAAAUAGCGUUUCACCGCAGCUCAUCUUCAAGCUCACGUCUCUUUUCCCAACGCGCGCGCAUCCUUCUUCUUUCCACACUCUCCCUUGCCAUCGAAGUCUUCUAGUUCCAGUUCCUAUUACUUCUUCCCCCUUCCCUUCGAUGGCGACUCCUUCCGGCAGCUCCCCCGCACGCGAUGCUCCAGAGAUAGUGCCUCCGGUGGUGGUAGCGACGGCCGUCACUUCAUCUGCAGAUGAAAGAGCUUCAUCAGAAAUCCCAAUGGCGGUCCCCAUCACGGCCCCGUCAUCCACAUCCGCAUCGGCGACCACACCGAUUACUCAGAACUUUAUCCCGGAGGUAAAUACCGAAUCCUUCCCCUAUCGGCAACGUAUUUAUCUUAGAUCUACUCCUUACAUUCCUAUGCCCUUUUUCCUUUUUUAGGCGGUUAGGCAUAGAAUUACUAUUCAUCUCACGGGCAGUCCUGGCCUUGUUUACCUUGGUCCCAUGGGAGACCCAGAUCCGGCAGAUCUUAUAAAUUUGGAAACUGACCGGGUGCCCUUCAAACGAUCCGAUAUGAACUUAGAUCAAUGGGUGAGCACUUUCAGAUCUUGGCCGAAUGAAACCCUAGGUUGGAGGGAAUGGUACCAACGGGUGGCCGCGUCCAAGAGUGUCUUGUGGGAAGAGCUCAAAAUCGGCCAAUGCAUCAACCUCUCCCUAUCUCAAAUGGAGAAAAAUGAGCUGUUAGUGAUGGCGGCUUCCUAUUUUUGGUCUGACGCACUUAAUGCGUUCUUAUUUGGACACGGUCCUAUGACCCCCACCUUGGCCGAUGUGGUCCUCUUGACCGGCCUGGACAUAUCUUCCCCUGACACACCCUUCCACCUUUUGACCACAACGUCGCAUCGGCUGGACACAAGGGGAAUCGACGGCUGGAAGGGCUUUAUCAGUAGUAACAAGAAGACCGGUACUGUUGAGAACAGGGAACACACAGCUUUCCUGAUGAUGUGGCUAGAAAAACACCUCUUCUGUGGAAGAGCCGCCGGCCCAACAACCAACACCCAAUCCUUAGCUGAAGCACUAUCCAGAGGAAGCCAUAUUCCUCUCGGGAAACAUCUUCUGGGUGCUGUGUACCAUAUGCUCCAUGAAAUCGGCACAAAACUUUUCAAGGGAGAACCAAUCGGCAACCCAGGUGGGCCUUGGUGGUUUGUCAAUCUAUGGUUGAACCUUUACAUGAACAAAAUCACCCGGCAACCAGUGGACCAUAUGAUGUUUCCCAAUAUCGAAUCGGCGGAGGACCCUACCGAGCGUCGCCGAUGCAUGUCUUUUGGUGAAGCAGCGUCAGCUUUUCCAGGUUGUGCGUAUUCUGCUACAAAGGUAGCCGAGUACUUUCGGUGCUUUUAUAAUGGAUUUAAUGAGGACGCGACUAUCUGGUUUCCAUACCAGCGAGACAUUCCAGUCUUUGAGCUCCCCUCCUGCUUCGAUUCAACUUCUGGCCGGUUUGAUGAAGAUCUUUAUGAAGAAUUGAUCAAACCAGGGCUCCUACCGGCCAACUUCUUUUCAGGGAAAGAUGCCCCUACAUACAAAUUCUACAACCCGUCUACUGCCGCACGACAAUUCGGCAUGGGUCAAUUGCCGAUACAAGUGUAUUUUGCUGGCCGAAUCAAAUUCAGAGAUGUGCUCACAACUGGCCUGGAUUACUGUCGGCUGCGAGACCGAAUUCCGGACUCUAGUACGAUUAAUUUGAAUGAUUGGCUAUUAUUUCCAUUUGCCGUCCAUCCGUUCAAACUUUGGUGGGCCGAAUGGAAGCAAUUUCUAUUCUGCAACUCAGCAUCGGCAUACUGCAACCUUCUAGAUCCGGCCAACAUUGAUCCAAACGCCGAGGUAUUUCUGAUUACCGAUUUUUAUUCUUCCCAACAUGAUUGAGCACUAAUAAUUUCACUGUUUCUUUAGGCCGAGAAUCGGGCCCCUCCAACGCACAGCCGCAGCGGUCGGCUAAUAGAGAGCUAUCCAUACACCACCUAUCCUCUCAUCGGCUACGACGCUCCGUCAGUUGACAUGAUCGCUGGCCGAUCGAAAAAGGUUCAUAAGAAGGUCGUCAAGAAAACCAGUCGCCGAGUCCGGGCUCGUACGGAAUCGGCGGAUCCUCCUGUGCUCGUAUCGGCAGAAGCUUUGACUGCACCACCUUCCCAGGCCGCACAAAGUGCCAAUACUCAAGCCAUCACACAAGCCGGAGUGGCUGCCGCAUCAUUAUUAUUGGAAGCUAUACAAGUAAGUCCGAGCUUUACUAUCCCCGAUUGUCGUUUUGAUAUUAGCUCUUCUUAACUUUGUACUUCUUAGAGCACCUCUGCGGAAAUACCGCAAUCGGCGACGACUCGACCGGACACCAAUGCACCUCUGCCCUCAUCCAUUGAGGUACGGUACUUAUCUUACGGAUUUCCUUCGAGUAUUUGCGUAAUGUAUCUAACCGAUUUUUGACGCAGGCCAUCGGCACACCGAGCGCUUCCCUACAACCGAUUUCUUCCCAGGGAGCUGGUCCGAGCACCGCGCCGAUUAUCGUGGAGUCCUCUUCAUCAGAUGAACCUAUGGCGCAGGCCACUGAGCAAGACAUGACGGCUUUACAAGCGCAGCAUGAAGAAAUUCGUUUUAAAAUGGUAAAUUCCUAAACCAGCUUUCAACCAGCCGAUUUGCUCUGAUCCCCCGCCGAUUCACCCCUUUUCCUUAUUUUCUUAGGAACAAGAUUCCCCCAACAACAGCCUCUUCUCCUUCGCGGUUGCUCUUUCUGAUGAUGAGGAAAUCGCAUCCCGCCAAGUUGCUCUAAGCUCCGUUCCUGACGACGUCCGAGCUAAACUUACCAACAUCCGAUCCCUCCUGCAAGGGGACAUCGGCCGAUUGGUAGAAGAUGCUUCGCCGAUUCGGCAGCUCUUUAGUGACGUCAGCGGACGAGUACCAGAGGAAGCGGAAGAGGCCUUGGCACCGGCGGCCUUUAUCGAGUCCAUGAGGAUCCCAGUUUUUAGGGCCCUUCGUCAUAUGGCCGAUCGCGCGAAACUGGCCAAGACCCGUGAAGAUGAAAACGCUUUUAAGCGUCAGGCUCAAGAAGCGAAUCGGCGUAUCCAUGUCCUAGAAGGUUCACGCCCGGCGAUCAUUAGUGAAAUAGAUCGCCUCAAACGUCGGAGGGCGGAACUUGCCAAAGAGAUGGAGCAAGUGACCAAGGCAAUCAGCGCCGAAGAGAACAAACUUCAAGAGUUACCCUCUGCUAUUGCCGAUUUGACACGGGAGAGGCAGCGUUUUGCUCAAGAGGCUCUGAGACUCCACCGCAACGCAUCGGAGGUCCCUGGAUCGGCAGAAGAAGACCAACGGGUUCUUGAUUCUGCCGAUCAGAUCCGGCGUCGGGCCAUCACGGCUAUCGAUACCCUUUUGGGUGAUCUGUAAAACACUGACCGUUUUGUACAAACAUUUACUACCUUCUUUGACCGACCCUUCGCGACGCCCUCUAUUUACUGCCUUCCUUAUUACCGAUGGGACGUGGCCUCAUCAGAUUUCCACGUAUUUUCCCCAUAAAUAUCGACCUCGGCGCCUACUCCCGAUAGCAUCGACUCGGCUCCCAUUUCGCUUUUCCUCUUCUUCUCAUCAGUGCGACUAUUUCGUCAUGGCCUCAUCGUCAUCCUCUUCUGUCAACCAGGUGAAGUCCCGACCUCCCCUCUUAGAUCUUAGGAAACGAAUACUUCACCUUAUUCCUUCUUUGUUUCAGCCCCAACGCCUUGGUCCGGAGCUCGUGCGCGCCAUCGAGUGCAUCCACUCCGAGGACCCGUUGACCCCGGAGGACAAGGCUCUGAUUCUGGCCCACCAAGAGGAGCUCCAAGACCACAUUACUGCAGAGGCUCGUGCAGUCUUGGAUGCCGUGGUGAAUGAAAGCCGUCGCCGAUCUCCAGUCAUGAGGGGUCGUCGUUGUGACGUUCCUGUAGAUGACGUCACUUCGACAGCCCGCGCGAUCCUGGGCUACCUGGAGAGGAACGGCGGCCAGCGGUCUUCCACCGAUAGGGUCCGUCUGCUUCCUCGGCCCGUCAUCCUGGCGGCGGCAGAGGCCUCGCGCCUUCGUGCUUUGGAGCGGAAUGGGAAGUCAUCUCAGAAGAAGAACAAUUAGUUUGUUUUUUGUAAUUUUUUUGUUCUAAGGGCGACUAAUGUUUUGUCGGCCAUGUAAUCUGUCGCCCGUACCGAAUGAAUGUAAUCGGCCACUCCAGUCGAUUUUAUGUGCUUCUUAAACCGACUUGUAUCGGCUGUGUAUGAUUGUGUUACGGUUGAUUUCUUAGGCUCCAACCCAUAUACUUGGGUAAUAUCUUUUUAAGUACCUUCCAUUCAUAGCUCUAGUGAAUUCUUCUCCUUCUAUUGUUUCCAAAAUGUAGGCAUUCCCUGGAGCGCAUCUGCCGAUUUUAUACGGCCCUUCCCAGGUAGGAGACCAUUUGCCGAAUUUAGGAUCUUUCAACCCGAUCGGUAGUACCAACUUCCAUACCAAGUCUCCGGGGGAGAACUGCUUGACUUUGACCUUCUUAUCGUACCACCUGGCCACCCUCUUUUUAUUCUCCUCGACACUUAUCAGAGCCCUUAGUCGUUGGCCGGCCAAAUCAUCAAGUUCUCCUUUCAUCAGAGAUGAGUAAUCAUCGGCUGACAACUGGUCCUGAAGUGAAAUGCGCCUUGAUCCUGCCCUCGACUCCCAUGGCAGUACUGCAUCAUGACCGUAUACCAACUGAUAGGGAGAUAACUUAGUGGCCCCAUGACAGGCCAUUCUGUACACCCACAGGGCUUCAGUCAAACAUAGGUGCCACUUCUUUGGGUAUUCUUCAAUCUUGCUUUUGAUCAACUUGAUUAUUCCUUUGUUGGAAGAUUCUGCUUGACCAUUGGCUUGAGCGUAAUACGAAGAAGAAUUUAACAACUUGAUGCCCAUAUCGGUCGUAAAUUCCUCAAAUUCCCCCGAUGUGAACAUUGUUCCUUGAUCGGUUGUUAUAGUUUGAGGGAUACCGAAUCGGUAGAUGAUAUGGUCCCUUACGAAAUCGGCCAUGAUAGCCGAAGUCACGGUCCUUAAUGGGAUUGCCUACACCCAUUUGGUGAAGUAAUCAGUAGCCACCAGAAUAAACUUGUGCCCCUUGCUCGAUGGUGGAUAAAUUUGGCCGAUAAGGUCUAUUCCCCACCCUCUGAACGGCCAUGGUUUGAUGAUGGGAUUCAUGGCCGACGCGGGUACAUGUUGGACAUUUCCAAACUUUUGACACUCCUGACAACCCUUAUAAUACUUGAAACAGUCUUCGAGGAUCGUAGGCCAAUAGUACCCGUUGUUUCUGAUCAUCCACUUCAUCUUAUGUGCCGAUUGGUGAGCUCCGCAUACCCCUUCAUGGAUUUCUCCCAUUAGAGUCUUGGCUUCUUCUGUCCCAAGGCAUUUAAGAAGGACACCGUCGAUCGUUCGGUAGAACAGAUCAUCUUCGAGCAGUACGUACUUGGUGGCGUGAAAGCGUACUCGUCGCUCCACCUUUUUAGACGGAUCCUUCAGGUAAUCGGCAAUUUCUUUACGCCAAUCAUCGGCUGCAAGUUCUAAGGCCAUGGCGCCCAGAAUCGGCCGAUACCCAGAUGCGUGCUGGGCGAGUUUGUUCGCUUCCUCAUUGCGAUCUCUUGGAACAUGCUCGAUUACUGCUGAUCUGAAUCCUUUUAAAAGCUGUACGCAAUCUUCAUGAUAGAUUCUUAAUAUGUCAUCUUUGCACUCAGCCCUUCCGGUUAGUUGAUCCACAAUUAGCAUAGAAUCCCCGAAGAUCUCAACAGAAUCGGCCUUGACUUCUCUCAAUAAUUGUAAGCCUUUCAAUACGGCUCUAUACUCCGCUUGAUUGUUAGUGGCGGCGGUUUCUAUCGGCAGAGAAAAAUCAUAGCUUGCCCCCCGAGGCGAUAUGAGAACGAUGCCGAUUCCUGAUCCAACCCCGCAUGAUGACCCGUCAAAAAAUAAUUGCCAAGGUGCUAGUUCCACGAGGGUGAUCUCCGGUCCACAGUGCUGGGCGACGAAAUCGGCCAUGACCUGACCCUUGACGGCUUUUGCCGAUUCAUACCGUAGGUCAAAUUCUGAUAAAGCUAAGAUCCAUUUACCGAUUCGUCCUUUCAAUAUCGGCAGUGAUAGCAUGUAUUUCACUACAUCAUCUUUGCAUACGACUACGCAUUCUGUCGACAGUAGAUAGUGCCUGAGUUUGGUGCACGAGAAGUAAAGAUACAAACACAAACGCUCUACCGGAGGAUAUCUUGUUUCGGCAUCCAAGAGUCUUCUACUGACGUAAUAAAUUACCCGUUCUUUGCCUUCAAACUCUUGGACUAGAGCCGACCCAAUAGCUUUUUCAUCGGCUGAUAAAUACAGUUUAAACGGUUUACCAGUUUGAGGGGGGGACCAAGACUGGCGGUGAGACCAAGUAUCGCUUGAUAUCCUCUAACGCCUUGCGCUGUUCUUCUCCCCAUAUGAAUUCCUGGUCGGGCUUCAACUUCAGAAGUGGCGUGAACGCCUGGAGUCGUCCAGAUAGAUUAGAUAUAAACCUUCUGAUGAAGUUUACCUUGCCAAUUAGAGACUGUAGCUCAGUUUUGUUCUGUGGAGCAACGACUUUGUUGAUGGCCGCUAUGGUCUUCUGAUUGACUUCUAUACCUCGUUCGUGCACCAUGAAUCCUAAGAAUUGUCCGGCGGAGACGCCGAAAGCGCAUUUGUUGGGAUUCAUCUUAAGACCAUGCUUUUUGGUACACUCUAGCACCCUUCGCAAAUCGGCCAGGUGUUCCUCGUGGCUUUUGGACUUGACCACAACAUCAUCGAUGUAGAUCUCCACCAGGAGGCCAAUGAGUUUGUGAAAAAUGUAGUUCAUGGCCCUCUGAUAUGUAGCGCCAGCAUUCUUCAAGCCGAAAGUCAUCACCACCCACUCGAAUAAACCGAGAUGUCCCGGACAUCUGAAAGCCGUUUUGGGUAUGUCCUCUUCGGCCAUAAGUAUUUGAUUGUAUCCGGCGUUUCCAUCCAUGAAGCUAAUAAUUUUGUGUCCCGUGGCGGCGUCGAUCAGUACAUCGGCCGUAGGCAUGGGGUAACCAUCCAUCGGUGUGGCCUGAUUAAGAUUCCUGAAAUCAACGCAAACGCGCAGCUUCCCGUUUUUCUUGUACACUGGCACGAUAUUAGAAAUCCACUCGGCAUAACGACAUUGCCGAAUAAACUUUGCUUCAAUUAGCCGAGUUAUUUCAGCUUUUAUGUCUGGUAAAAUUUUAGGAUUGCAUCGCCGUGCGGGUUGUUGGUACGGCCGAUACCCUGGCUUUAUGGGUAGCCGAUGUUCAACAAUAGAUCGAUCUAAACCGGGCAUCUCGUGAUACUCCCAAGCAAAACAAUCCUUGAAUUCUCUUAAUAAAUUUGUCAAUUUACACUUAUACUCUGGGUCUAAAUCUGCACUAAUAAAAGUCGGCCUUGGUUUGGUUCCGUCACCUAAAUCUAUCAUCUCUAAUGAAUCGGCCGACGUGAAUCCGUGCCCCAGCUUCCCGUCUUCUCGGGCGAACUGAUCCAUCUAUUGCGCUUCUUCGGAGCCGACUGCUCGGAUCGGCUGUAGGCCAAAAUCGGUGACCUUCAGGAAAUUGGUUUCCCACACCCUACCUGAUAUGCAUCUGAUGGUUUCGCAGCUCCAUUGCUGUGCGUCGGCUGCUGCGAUGCUGUACGCAAAGUCGGCUUUGACCACCUCGAUGCUAUCGCCGACCCAUUGUACGAGGCACUGAUGCAUAGUUGACGGGAUGCAGCAGUUUGUGUGUAUCCAGUCUCGGCCAAGAAGCAUAUUAUAGGACCCUUUGCCAUUAAUGACGAAAAACGUGGUAGGAAGAGUCUUACUGCCGAUGGUGAGGUCGACGCAGAGAGCACCGCGAGCGUUUGACACCUUGCCUUCGAAGUCCUUGAGCAUCAUGUCCGUCCUAGUUAGGUCGUCGUCGCUCUUCCCCAGCUUCCGGAGUACGGCAUACGGCAUGAUAUUGACAGCAGCUCCUCCGUCGACCAUCAAUCUAGUGAGGGGACGACCGUCAACAUGCCCUUUAAGGAACAACGCCUUCAUAUGUUGUCGUUCGUCGUCUUCGGGCUUUUCGAACGUGGCCAUCAUUGGUUCUAAAGCCAACCGCACUGUCUGUUCCUCUAUCGCCGAUACGUCCUAUUGAUCGGCAGGGGUCAUGAACUCCAUCGGCAAAAUGAAAACCAUACCGAUCUCGACUGCCGAUUCAUCACCCGCCGACUCAUUGUUUCCCUUGUCGUUUCUUUUGGGGCGCCACACCCGAGGCCUCCCUUCCUUCUUGUCCAUCGCGCUCUCUUCCUCUUGCUGUUCCCAUUGGCGGAGGCGUUGGAUCCUCCAUUUUUGUGAUUUGGUUAAACCAUCGGGGCACCACCUGGGGUUUAUUGGCCUUCCUUCUUUCCUGGCGCGUUCCCACUCCGGCUCGCGUCCUAACGGGUUCUCGUCCGUUACCCGAGCGUCGGCCAUAUCUUCGAGCCGGCUGUGAACGUUGGCUUUGCUAUUUGAUUGAUCAUGUUGAUCAGCCCUGCCCCCCUGCCUAUUAUGGCUUCUUUCCUCUGACCGAUCAUAUCGGUCACUUCUGCCCCCCAGCCGAUCGCGCAUGGGAGGGCGCUGGUCAUCUGGGUUGCGCCAAUUCCUGCUGAUCGGCUCUGGCCUUCCGUCUCUGGAGCGAGACCUGGUGAACGGCCGAUUGCCUCGAUAGGGGCCGUUGCACUCUGGGCAAGUAUCGGCCGAUGGUAGUCUGAGGUUAUUUUCCCAACAAUGAAUGAAGAAUGGGCAUCUCCAGUGCUCUUCGUGCCGACGCAUCGCUUCCUCUCGGGACCUCGAACGUUCAUGUUGGCGUUGGUACUUUUGGAGCAGGAACUGGGAAGUAAUGCGUGGCCCCUCUGACUCAUCAUCAUCGUCCUCCAUUCAUCGUUUUCCUUUGAUAUCUUCAGACGUAACUUGAUUUCUGGGAUCGACAGCGCCACUCUUUUUGGCCGACUCGGACGUUAGCACUUUUGUUUGGAGAGAAUUCUUUUCCGUAUCAACCAUGUUGGUAGGAAAGGGGUGCUGGUCGAUCUUCAUUGGUUUGGCCGAUUUUGCUGGCACUUCAAAUUUGAGUCUGCCUUGCUCAAUAGCCGACUGUAUUUGUUGCCUGAAGAUUUUGCACUCGUUGGUAUCAUGUGAUGUGGCAUUGUGCCACUUGCAAUACUUCAUCUUUUUCAAUUGUUCGGCAGAGGGUAUUGUAUGGUAAGGCGAGAGUUUAAUCUGCCCUUCCUGGAGUAGAAGAUCGAAGAUUUUAUCAGCUUUAGUUGUAUCGAAACCGAAUACUUCCGGCUCCUUUUUGCCGAAUGGGCAUGAUAUCGGCUUCUUUCCCUUAAUCCACUCUGCAAGUCCGAUUUCGGCAUCUUCCUCCGAAUACUUCCAGGAAUGCCACUUUCUUCUGGAAAUUCCUUCUCGGGUCGAAUGGACGCACUUCCUGCCCGGACAAUCGGUGGACAAUCUGGCUCAGGCUCUCGAACUCUUGUGAAGCAUAUUUCUCUUUAAUGUGUGGCAGCAGGCCUUGGAAAGCUAUAUCGGCCAACUGCGCAUCGGUUAGAGCCAGGGAGUAGCAUUUGUUUCUGAUUUCCUGAAACCUCUGUAUAUAUGAGGGUAUCGGCUCAUCACUUCUUUGCCGGAGGCUAGUCAAAUCAGACAGCUUCAUUUCAUGGACCCCAGCAUAGAAGUACUUGUGGAACUGUCUUUCUAGAUCGGCCCAUGUGAUAAUUGAGUUUGGUGGCAAAGUUGUGAACCAUUGGAAGGCCGAUCCAGACAAGGAUGACGAGAACAACCGUACCCGCAGGGCAUCUUGCGUAGCUGCCUCUCCGCAUUGGAUGAUGAAUCUAUUCACAUGUUCUACGGUAGAGGUGUCAUCCAUCCCCGAAAAUUUGGUAAAAUCAGGAACUUUGUACCGAUGGGGGAACGGCAACAAGUCAUAUGUAGAUGGGUAUGGUGUUCUAUAGGUAUAAGUUUGCAUUUUCGGCUUCAAGCCGAAUUGUUCUUGCAUUACCUCCGCAAUUUGCGCCGACCAAUCUGGUUGUUGCUGGGGAACAGUUGGCUGUGGUAUCGGCACGUGCUGAUAAAUCGGAGGCUGAAUAAAAGGAGAUUGAUGAAAAGGUGGUAUCUGAGUGUAAGCUGGCGGUGUAGUAAAAGUUGGUUGUUUGUAUGAACCACUUGUUUCAUCAUAUAGCAUGAGCUCUGACGUCUUGUUGACCUCCGGAGCGACAGGCUGGUAUGGUGGUAUGAUCGGCCGGGUGGCCGUUUGGGAGUGUGUCUGGAACGGAGGAUUUCCUUGACUGACCGAUUGGUUCAGACCGGCCACGUUUAAAGGUGCCCCCCAGGGUGAAGGGCUGACUGGAGGGAAUGGCGCAGAGGACAGUUGGGUAGAACCAUAUCCCAAAGGAGUUGAUGACGCAGAAGCACCGGAUCCUCCAACAGAAGAUUGGAUCGGUUGUGAAGCCGGAUAAGCCUGAUUUGGUGGAAUCGGCUGAAAAUACGUUGGUCCCCUGUACCCUUGAGGUAUACCUCCGGCGAAGGAGUUGACAACGGCAUUGUGCACCAUGUUUGAAAGCACCGGGGAUUGAUUGAUGAAGGCAUGAUGAAGAGAUUGUUGAAUCAUAUCGGACAUUUUAUCCGAAUCCUCGGAAAUUGUGAUUUGUCGGGGAGUAGGGAAAGGAGUCUUUUUAACAGUCUCCCCGCUCCUGGAACGACUGAAGGAUUUUAAGCAAGUUUUCCGAACUUGUUCCAAAUACUUAUUCAGAUCUUCCUUUUGGUCGUCCUUUAGAUCUGCUUCCGUCACUUCGAUGACGUUAUCUUCGGAGACUUCAGCAGCUUUCGACAUGUUAGCAGCUGUAUUGGUCCCACUGGGCGUGCCAAAAGUGUGUUGGCGCUAGAAAUCGGUCAACCGAAUCCCAGCGACCGACACACGACCCGGGAGAAUCUGCUUAGCUCCUGUUCGGGUGAAUGCCCUGAUGCGGUUCGCGCGGCGUGCCAGCCAAUCUGACCUAUUGAUUGGCAAGGAAGAACACGUGUCAGGUUCAGAAACUACGAUCGGCUAAGUUUCCGAUCGAGAGAGUUUAUCAGCGAAUCGACCGAUUUACUGUGAUAAUGAAAUCGGCUAUAAGACAGCACGAUCCCUGUAGCCUUGUAGACGGAAAAAUACUAAAGUAAUCGGUACAAAGCUUGUGAUAACAGCACUAGGAAAAGAUCUAAUCGGCAACGGAUGGAUCUAACGAUAGAAAAUAAUGAAAGCCGAUACUACCGAUUCCUAGCGGGAUAAUUGGUGAUAAAAACUAGGAAAACAGGUAAAAACCUAUGAAUCUAGUUGAUAUCGAUAACUGAUGAAUAAAUCUAAACGAAAUAACAGCGAUGCGCCGGAAGUUAAAGCUUAGAUAUUACUCGAUAAACGGAACUUACAGAAUCGGCCGGAGAUCAAGAUGAUGCAGCCCUGCCAAUCCGCACGAACUCGUGAGAAGAAAAAAGUAACGGCGAAGUCGCCUGCUCGAAAGUAAGUACGAAGAAGAAAGUAACUUGUUGUAUUGAUUGGUUGAUGAUUACAGAUUUACAAAGGUAGCUAUUUAUAGCCCCGUACAGAUAACUUCUUAACCGACUAGAAUUCUAUCUCUAAUUCAAACAGAAAACAAACAUCUACAAGCACAAUUCAUGCUAGGUUAGUUAUCCCACGCUUCGUGGGCUGACCCCCACCUUAUCCUUCCAUCCCUUUCCAAACCCAUACAGGCCCAAUUAGCCCAUCCUCUUAAUCGGCCGAUUUCCCAUCGGCAAAAGAUUACCGAUUGGGAUUCUGGUGCAUUCAUCCUGAAGUGAGACAAAAGUCGUCAGCCGAUCCCGCACUACAGCACCAUUUGACCGAUUCCCAACUGUAGUUCUCCGAUUUCUUUCUGCUUGGCGCCGAUUCUACUGGUGACGAAAUCCGGCGUCAACACAUACAUAGACUUUGGCAAGAUGUGACCCUCCGGGAGCAGGCUCCCAAAAACUGUCAACAUAAUAUCGAAGGCGUCUCGACUCAAGCUAAACUGGGACUUCACGGCCAUUAGACGUGCAAUGGCAUCCAGUUGAGAGACCUUGGUAUGCCCGUGAAGGGGUUGUUGUGCCAUAGACAACAUGUCGUAAUACGCCUUUGCGGUAGCCUCGGGCUCCUCCUCCCUAUGAGCUUCAUGAUAGUCAUCUAACAUGUCUCCCACCCCGGCGUCAUCAUCAUAUUGCUCGAUACGUUGUCUGAUGACCUCGUCCCUCCCACGAUCGACCUCACCAUGGUAGAUCCAUAUGGUAUAGUCUAACGUAAAUCCGUGCCUAACAAGAUGUUUACCCAUUCCUAACUUGGUUUGCCGACGCAUGUUUCCACAUUUGCUACACGGACACCAAGUUUCUCUUCCUCCUUUGAUCCUUGCAAAUGCCCGUUCCAAGAAAGCAUCGGUCUUGUUUAUCCAUUCAUCGGUCAACGAAUUCUGACUAGAUCGGCCCGUGUACAUCCACUGACGAUCCUCCAUCCUCUAGCAUACCAACGAGUAAUAUAAACACUCAAGUUGCAUCUACACGUUCCUAUAUUGUCUAUUAGGUAAAGAUAGGUCCUAAUCCCACACGAGGAUGUGUAGGUGGGAUUACUUUCCAUGGUCUACUCCGACCCGAGAUAGAAUUUCGGCAGCACCUCCCCGCUGUUCUCCAAAUACACGUCCUGUGAUGGAGAUUGUGUAUCCGGAGAACAAUUGGGAGGUGCUGCCGAAACUCUAACUCGGAUCGGAGUAGACUAUGGAAACUAAACCCACCUACACAUCCUCGUGCUGUCCAAAGUAACGUGGACAAUUCGAAACAGAUACGGUUAUAAAUAUGCAAACAUCUGCAUAUUUCCAAACGUAUCUCUUUCGAACGUGAGACGCCUAACUAGGUUACGUGAUAUACGACCAUCAUACGGAAAUAGAUGUUUAGGAUGACUCACCUUGCUAUCGUACAAAGUGACGACUCGAGGACGGUAACGUAGCCUCUCCUGCAAAAAAAACAUACAACUGUCAACUAAAAAUUUCGGCAGCACCUCCCCUACACGUGGAGGUUUCCAUAACCUGCAUCAAAUGAAACGGCACGAUGGCCGACAACCACAUGUACGGAGCAAGGAAUGGCACGAUGGCUCACUUCCACAAACAUUCUUAUAGCUUAAAUUCCAAAGCCAACCAUCAUUUUCUAAUUUCAACAACUAAAGUCCCACAAUUUCCUAAUUUCAACAACGAAAGCCCUACAAUUCCCUAAUUUCAACAACUAAAGCUCUCUACAAUUUCCUAAUUUCAACAACUAAAGCCCUACAAUUUCAAAUUUCUAAUAUCUUAUUUCUAAUUUUAACCUACUAUCUAAGUCAGAUUUCCUAAAUUCAAAAAAAAAAAAACUACCUACCGGGUGAGGGACGCCGUGACGCAGGGACAGGGGGCGCCGGGGCCGGGCAAGGGGCGCGGGGGGCGGCCGCCGGGCACAGGGAGCCGGGGGCCCGGCGUGGGCGACCGGCGGGGCAAGAUGGCGGGGAGCCGGCGCCGGGCGCGCCGGUGGCAGGGAGCCGGGGCCGGGGCGUCGGCGGACCGUCGGGCGGCGCCGGUGGCGGGGAGGCGGGGCCGGGGCGUCGGCGGUCGGGCGGCACGGAGCGCAGGCGCCGGGGGAGACGGGCGGCUGGGGCGGCCGGUCGGGUUCGCCCCGGGUAGGGGCGCCGGCAGGGCGGUGGCGGUGGGCGCCGGCGGGGCGGGGGCGGUGGCGGCCGGCGGGGCGGUGGCGGUGGGCGCCGGCGAGGCGGUGGCGGCCGGCGAGGCGGGAGUCGCGUCGGGCGCGGGGGCCGGCGGACGGGGCAACAGAGGCGCGGAAAUGAAUCGACGAGACGCUAAGUCGGGAGAUAACUUCGAAUCUUUGCCGAGUGCCCGCGAUCUGGCACUCGGCAAAGGCUUUGUCGAGUGCCAGAUCGGGGGCACUCGGCAAAGCACUAGUGUUUGCCGAGUGCUCAGAUCCAGGGCACUCGGCAAAGUUAAUUCGGGUUUUUUUUUUGCAAGCGAGGCCGAAGAAAGUGGGCCCGUGCAACUAGUUUGCCGAGUGCACAUAGAAAACACUCGGCAAAAUACCAUUUUUGCCGAGUGUUUUAUGGGUACACUCGGCAAACGUUACAUGAAAUAACGUAUUUUAGUGGCCUUUUUCAAAUAUACUUGUUCAAAAUUGUGUCAAAAUCACUAAAAAAUUGUUAAAUUAGUUUUCUACCGAAAUUAUUCCAUUAUUUCAUGCAGUUAUAGCUCAAAUUCCAUUUAUAUCUAAUAAAAAUCUAUAAUUGCAUUUAAUCAAUAAAAAAUAUCAAAUGCAUCCGAAAAAUUUCCAAAAUUUGACAUGAACCAACAUGUGUUGUAUGUUGCCUGUACAAAAAGAUUUGAAGGCACUCCUUAAUUCAAGUGUCACUUGAACACCAAAUCUUAUUGGCUCCUUUCUAACUUCUAUGAAUCCUUCCAGGAGAUUAGUCGGUUUCUAAGCAUCAUAGGUCAGAAAUUGGGCGAAACGUUCUCAAUUUUUUACCACAGCCUACACACAUAAUAUAAUGACAUCUUGACAAAUCUUGUGAUUUUCAGAUUUCGUUUGGUUUUUUUACAAUUUAACAACCAUUGAACCACAGGUUCGUGGUCGUGUUUUUUAAAAACAAUGUUCAAAAUUUCUUUUCAUUUUCUGGUUGAGACCUCAAUUUGGUCUCCAUAAUAUGAAUAUGAUUUUUUCACUGAUUUCAAUCCAUUAUUUCAAGUACUUGUAGUUAAAAUUUGACUUCAAUCAAAAAAUUCCUAUUAAUGCAAACAAAGCAUUAAAAAUCCCAAACAGACCCGAAAAUAGACCAAAUUUUAAUAUGUAUAACCAAAUGUCCUACGUGGGGAGUAGGAAAAGUGUGGAAGCUGUUGGAAGGAAUUUUUUUUUUGUUUGCCGAGUGCCCCUAGGAUGGCACUUGGCAAAGUGUUGCGUUUGCCGAGUGUCCGGCUGAGGCACUCGGCGAACUUUUGAGUGUGCCGAGUGUAUGCGUCUGGCACUCGGCGAACCAGACUUUGCCGAGUGUCACACGGCAAACACUCGGCAAAGGUGUAACGGCCGUCCCACCCUGUUAGUGCACGACGCACGUGCGCCGCAUGCGAUACUGAUUUACCGAGUGUGUCUUCUUUGCCGAGUGUCGAGGAGUUGUUUGCCGAGUGCCUGAUUUUUGGCACUCGGCAAACCUCCUUUUUGCCGAGUGUUUUAUGUUCGCCGAGUGCCUCAUUGUGUACACUCGGCAAAGAUGGUGUUUGCCGAGUGCCCGAAAGAAUGCACUCGGCACACGUUUUACACUCGGCGAAUUUACUGUUUCCGGUAGUGAUUGAUGACAACACCUUGAGGAGACGCGUUUCUGCGUGUUUCUGGGUGAAUAGAGAGAAUCUUUUAACACAUUUGAUUUCUGACAUUUACCAUGAAACUAGCCAUUGUAAGCUUAAGUUGCUGUCUAUUGUCUACAUCACCAAGUGUAUAGAAUUUCUGUCCAUGUUAUUUAUGACCAUUUUACUUGCAUGGCUUUAUAGGACAGAAUGUUGGCCAAAGUCUUGAUUACAGAGAAGCGUAUGAUAUAGCAGCUGCAAGAGCCGUUGCAGAACUGAAAGUUCUAGGUAUGUGAUAUUUGAAUUCCUGUUACGAGACCUGUUAUGGAAAAUUUAUCUGGAUUUCUCUUUUGCAGCGGAAUACUGCCUUCCAUUGGUUCGUGUUGGUGGUUUGUUCAUAGCUGCAAAAGGUCAUGAUCCCCACGUAAGUCUUGGAUUUCUUAUUUAACUAGCCUUCUGAUACCAUUGUAUUUUCCAUCAAACCUAAGAACAUAGUUUCUAUGAAUAUGUAUUGCUGACUUGCUCUAGUUGCAUGCUUUUCUUAUAAUCUAAUUUCACAUUUCCUUGACAGGAAGAAAUAAAAGAUGCUAAAAGUGCUGUACAGAAAUUGGGUGCUUCCAUGCUCGAAUUGUGUAAUGGUAAAAUAUUCCUAUCCUUCCUUAAUGCUUAAUUGCUUAUAGAAGGCAUUGCACUAAAUAUGUUGUAAUCUGCAUAUAAGCAAUUUUACCCUCUCUUAACCUAAAUGUAGAAGUGCGAGUUUGUUCCCUUUCUGACUAAAUGGCAUCUUUCCCUUGUAAAGUUUCUCUGGAUUAGAUAAUACUGAUGAGUAGUCAUAUUUCUAUUUUGCAUAUUUUAAUGCCUGUUGCCAUUUCAGCAAACAAUUGCUAACCUGAUUCCUUUCUAAUUCUCAUGAAUAUAGUUAUGUUGCUUCUAUGUCUUGUGCAUCCAGCCUUUCAGGUUAUGAUAAGCAUAGAAUUCUUGGUAACAUGCUAAGCCAUAGUUUCUUUUCAGCUGAAUCAAUGGGACCUCAUGGUCAUCGGACGGCUGUUAUAUACUUUAAAGAACGAGCUACUCCAAAAAAAUACCCGCGCCUUCCAGGUAUUUCCCAUGUGCCAUCAUGAAAAAGCAUCUAGUGUUGGAAAUUUUAUAAUAACUGAAGCUGAAAUGUUCCACUGGCUACACCCAGGUACUCCUUCCAAGAUGCCCUUGUGAGAAGCGUGUUAUUGUUGGUGUAGACCUUUUGCAACUGCUAAAAUCUGAAAAUCACAACUGAUCUAUAUCAGAGGUCAUCAACUGGAAGAUGUCUUUGUUAGAAGCACAGAGUAAUCGUGCUACCUUACAAUCAUAUCCUCACUCUGCUGUUUUGGGCAACUAAUUAGCUUGUCCUACACUCCUACUCGUCAUAUAUUUAAAACGGAUGGGAGUAGUUUCUAACAGGAUUCAGUAACUCUGCUCAAUCGAAUGAGACUGAAAAGUUUAUUGGUGUUCAUGCAACUGUCAGAACUGGACAUUUUCACGAAGUGCAAUAGGUUGAUGUACCAAUUGUAUGAAUCCUCAGUUCCUUUCAUGACUUGUAUCUUGUGGACGGUUUGGAAUUGGAUAGUUCUUGAAUAAGAAACUAGCAAAUGAGACCUUUAGGAUACGUGCUGUCGUAUACUAAUGUUAGUUCUUGGACCUAGACAAUGGCGCCGUAGUCAUCAACUGCUACGGCCCCAAGCUGUUCUAUUCCAUGCUAUCAUGGAUUCAUGGAUGUGUUUCCCUUUAACAUAUUUCAAUGACUAGGGCCAACUUGAAAGAAUUUAUCUUAAUUUGUCACCUACAAAUAACAUUAUCAAACGCUAAUUGCGGCAACGCAUGCGCGUCAGCACAUGGGUACCAUCAUUGCUCUCUCUUAAACAUCCUUCUCUGCCUGCCUGUAGCCCUGUGCCAAGUAGCAACCUGCCAAAGCCGGCUGCUAUACUAUUCUAACCAAAGAGGAGCAAGGAGCAAGAACUAAGAAGCUUCACAUCUACUCCUACCUUCUCAGGAACAAGUCACCACACGGGCCCUGUCACCAACACAACACACAACAAACACGAGACUUAUUCCCCAGCUUGACCAAACCAAACUCGCAAACAAGCAAGGACGGGUUCUGUCGUCCAAGCCGUCCCUUGCCGGCUGACCAAGUAGUCGUCGUUGGACCUGUCAGCCCUUCAAAUUAAAACGCCUACGAGUUGUGCCGCCUCAUCCAUUCUCACCUGUACCUUCAAUUCCUUUCUCCCCGGACGAUGACCAUGGCCAGCACCACCUCUCCUCUCCUCGUCCUGCUCUCCGCCAUGGCGGUGGCGGCGCUCGUCGCAGCACCAGUCUCGUCGGCGGACCUGCCAUCCACCUUCGCGGACAUCGCGUCCAAGAUCCCCAACCCGUGGUCGGCCUUCAGGAACCUCACCGGCUGCCACUUCGGCGAGGAGCAGCAGGGCGUCGCCAAGCUCAAGGACUACCUCGCCCACUUCGGCUACCUCCCGGAGUCUUCCGGGUUCAC
RNAcentral lists this long non-coding RNA (42637 nucleotides) under Setaria viridis. RNAcentral describes it as "long non-coding RNA (SVIR_LNC004042)". Lineage: Eukaryota; Viridiplantae; Streptophyta; Magnoliopsida; Poales; Poaceae. The record is from RNAcentral.